Molecule: non-coding RNA, 848 nt
Organism: Taeniopygia guttata (zebra finch)
Lineage: Eukaryota; Metazoa; Chordata; Aves; Passeriformes; Estrildidae
Source: RefSeq, a predicted model, not a curated record
GUGAAGCGGUGAAGGAGGAGGCGCCAUGGAGGCGCUGGCCGUCACCGCCCGGCUCUGUGGGCCGCAGUUGGAGCGUUACGGGCGCUGUGUGGCCGCCAGCCCCGGCAGCUGGCACCAGGAUUGUCACCAACUGUCCCUGAGUGUCACCGAGUGCGCCUCCGCCCACCCCCUGGUGCGCCGGAUCCGCCGGGAUUGCUCCGAUUCCUUCGGCGCCUUCGAGCGCUGCCUGCGGGAGCGGCCGCGGAGCGCGACCGAGUGCGGCCCCCAGGUGAGGGAGUUCCUCACCUGCGCCCAGAGCGUCACCGGGGACACGCCCAGGGACACACCCACAGGUCAGACAGGUGAGGCUGGAGCCCCAAAAAGGGAAUUUGGAGCCGGAAUUUUGGGAUAAAAUUGGGAUUUUAUUCCCUGGACACGCCCAGGGACACGCCCAGAGACACACCCACAGGUGAGACAGGUGAGGCUGGAACCCCAAAAAGGGAAUUUGGAGCCGGAAUUUUGGGAUAAAAUUGGGAUUUUAUUCCCUGGACACACCCACAGGUGAGGCUUGAACCCCAAAAAAGGAAUUUGGAGCCGGAAUUUUGGGAUAAAAUUGGGAUUUUAGCCAGGGACACACCCACAGGUGAGGCUGGAACCCCAAAAAGGGAAUUUGGAGCCGGAAUUUUGGGAUAAAAAUGGGAUUUUACCCCUCAGGAAACACUGGAAAUUCAGAAUUUUGGGAUCCGAAUUCCCUCAAAUCCCUCAGUGAAAAAGAGGAAAUUCGGGAUGGAAUUUUAGGAUCAAAAUGUGAAUUUUUGGGUUUUUUUUUUUGCCUUUUUUUUUCCUCUCCCCAGAGAAUCCCAGGAAUU